UAUAUACAGCCGAGUUGGCCAAUAAAAGAUGGAUUCAAGGCGUUGCCUGGGAGCAAGAAAAAACCCAAAAGGAGGACGGCUACAAUGAAGAGGGCGUUAUUGAAGUGGACACAAAAGAGGCUUGAAACUGCUGCAGAGCAGAAGAGAAGCACAGGAGAGGAAGGCGGAAUCCCAUAUUCAGGAAUGCACUGGCAGCAGCAUCUACAGAAGCGCCUGAAGGAAAGUCUCUAAGAGACUGGAGCAGUUCUACUGCAAAGUGGAUCAGGAAUCUGAAACACCUGAAGGAGCACAAUCACCAGACUCUACGCUCAGCCAUGGUCUAGUCUGGAGACUCUGAUGGCACAAUCCCAUUCUCCCUCUUAUGGAGGGAGAAUGAGAAUGUGCCUUCAGUGUGUGUUUAUGUGCACAGUCACAGAUUGACUGCACCCCAAUGAGCAGAAGACAGUGCCCCAAGCACACCUGGUCUUAAGGCCAACAUUUUUUUAAUCAUAACCAGAAAAUUCAGGGGUUUGUUGUUAAAUGUGAUGUUGGUUUUAAAUUAAGUUUUAGCAUUAAUACAGUUUGCAGUUGGUCUACUUUUAUUUAUGGUUUGUAGUUUUUAAAGGAUCUAGCAUCUUGUAGUCAUAUACCAUACAAAGAGUAAACAUGAAAGUUUAAUUCCCCCUAUAAACCACAUGGGUGCUAACAAGGAAUAACGCAAGCAGGAACAGAAAAUACAGUGGCCAGUUUUGGCAGUGAUAGAGAAAGGCAAAGCAGUCUAUGUCAGGGAAAGGUGAGGAGAAAGGAUUAUUGCCUGUUAGGAAAAAG
This is a long non-coding RNA of Xenopus laevis (African clawed frog), 807 nucleotides long. RefSeq lists it as uncharacterized. The transcript is spliced from 2 exons. The record is from RefSeq and is a predicted model, not a curated record. Lineage: Eukaryota; Metazoa; Chordata; Amphibia; Anura; Pipidae.